RNAcentral lists this ribosomal RNA (417 nucleotides) under uncultured bacterium. RNAcentral describes it as "bacterial SSU rRNA". It matches the Rfam family "Bacterial small subunit ribosomal RNA", at positions 358 to 772 of the family's 1533-position model. The record is from RNAcentral.
GGAAUAUUGGGCAAUGGAUGCAAGUCUGACCCAGCUAUGCCGCGUGCCGGAUGAAGGCCCUCAGGGUUGUAAACGGCUUUUAUUCGGGAAGAAGAGCAGGGAUGCGUCCUUGUGUGACGGUACCGAAUGAAUAAGCCCCGGCUAACUCCGUGCCAGCAGCCGCGGUAAUACGGAGGGUGCGAGCGUUGUCCGGAUUUAUUGGGUUUAAAGGGUGCGUAGGUGGCUUAAUAAGUCAGUGGUGAAAUACAGCCGCUCAACGGUUGAGGUGCCAUUGAUACUGUUAAGCUUGAAACAAGUGGAGGUUGCCGGAAUGGAUGGUGUAGCGGUGAAAUGCAUAGAUAUCAUCCAGAACACCGAUUGCGAAGGCAGGUGACUACGUUUGAUUUGACACUGAGGCACGAAAGCAUGGGGAGCAAA